This 72-nucleotide transfer RNA is filed under the name Camelus bactrianus (Bactrian camel). It matches the Rfam family "tRNA". From Rfam's summary of the family: Transfer RNA (tRNA) molecules are approximately 80 nucleotides in length. Their secondary structure includes four short double-helical elements and three loops (D, anti-codon, and T loops). RNAcentral also lists the same sequence under 2 other names. The record is from Rfam by way of RNAcentral. Lineage: Eukaryota; Metazoa; Chordata; Mammalia; Artiodactyla; Camelidae.
GAGGGUAUAGUUCAGUGGUAGAGCACAUGUUUAGCAUGCACAAGGUCCUGGUUUCAAUCACCAGUACCUCCA